This 78-nucleotide transfer RNA is filed under the name Thermococcus sp. Bubb.Bath. RNAcentral's name for it is "tRNA-Arg". It matches the Rfam family "tRNA". Rfam says of the family: Transfer RNA (tRNA) molecules are approximately 80 nucleotides in length. Their secondary structure includes four short double-helical elements and three loops (D, anti-codon, and T loops). The record is from RNAcentral. Lineage: Archaea; Methanobacteriati; Methanobacteriota; Thermococci; Thermococcales; Thermococcaceae.
GGGCCGGUGGCCUAGUCAGGACGGGGCGUCGGCCUCCGGAGCCGAAGGUCGCGGGUUCGAAUCCCGCCCGGCCCGCCA